AAAGUCGUAACAAGGUUUCCGUAGGUGAACCUGCGGAAGGAUCAUUAACACGAAUUUUAUCCAAUACCAAACCAAACGUGAACUUUUCCCCUCCCUAUUCUAUUAUGAAUUUAUUUUCAUAUAGAGUAGGCUAACCUUUUUUACUCUAUAUAUAAUAACAAUUUCUUCAUAUCCUUUAUCGGAUUGAAGUUUUCUAUUGUAUAUAUAGUCUUUAACUCCUAAAACUUUAACUCUAGUUUGUCGAGGUCUCCUCUUCAACUACUAACACUAAAAAAUGUCAUUUCUCUUAAUUGAGUGUGGCUUUUUUCGAUAUACGAAAUUAAGAACAACUCUUAACAAUGGAUAUCUUGGUUCUC
Molecule: unclassified non-coding RNA, 356 nt
Filed under: Glomeromycotina sp.
Lineage: Eukaryota; Fungi; Glomeromycota
Description: partial contains small subunit ribosomal RNA, internal transcribed spacer 1, and 5.8S ribosomal RNA
Rfam family: Eukaryotic small subunit ribosomal RNA (bases 1-47)
Source: RNAcentral